RNAcentral lists this long non-coding RNA (2198 nucleotides) under Fragaria vesca (wild strawberry). Its description in RNAcentral is "long non-coding RNA (FVES_LNC001288)". The record is from RNAcentral. Lineage: Eukaryota; Viridiplantae; Streptophyta; Magnoliopsida; Rosales; Rosaceae.
CACACAACUCUCACUCGCAACAAGGAUUUGAUAGGAAGUUCUGCAAGUAUUUUGGCGACUACAUCUUGUGGAAAGUAAGGCACGCUUGGUGAUCCAUGCAUUGGCAUCUCCAUAUGUGCGCUUCUCUCCGACAAACCGUGUUUUAGAUCGAGUGACGAGUGUUGAUUGCAUUAGUAAGCACAAGAUAUAGACUAACAAGAAUUCCCUGCUAGUUCUAAUUUAGUUAGGAACGUAGGAUCUUUUACUGUAAACAUAUAUACUAGGAAUGUGAUUAUUCUAAACAUACUAGGAAUGUGAUUAUUUUUUGUUGCCGUGAGAAUUAAAAUGGGACAAUACCCACUAGCCCUAAUUUCAAGAAUUUUAUUCCCACUAACAAAUCAAAUUUUAAAAUUCCCAAGAGUCAAUUUAAACAGCAGAAAGACAAAUAUACCUUUAAUGAAUUAAAUAAACUACAAUAGACCAUUAUAAGAGUCUAUUAUAAAAUAAAGUUUAUAUGACCGUUGACCGGACUCCGACGACCGUUGACCGGGCUCCGGCGACUGUUGACCGGCUCCGACGAAAGCUAGGGGAUCUACUGGGGGCAGUAGGAGGGUCUACUAGGGCAGUAUAAGGGUCUACUAGGGGCAGUAGGAGGUCUGUCCAGGGUACUGGUGCAGUAUGAGGGUCUACUGGGGCAGUAGGGGGUCUACUGGGGUAUUAGGAGGUCUGUCCAGGGUACUGGGGCAGUAUGAGGGUCUACCAGGGCAGUAGGAGGGUCUACUGGGGCAGUAGGGGGUCUAUUCAAGGCAAUAGAGAGUUUGUCAGGAGAUCUAUUGGGGGCAGUAGUGGGUGUGUCGAGGGGUCUAGUGGGGCAGUAGGACCUCUUACUAGGGGUAGUAGGACCACCUAGUGGGGCAGUAGGACCUCCUACUGGGAUUAGUAGGACCUCCUACUGGGGGUAGUAGGACCACCUACUGGGAUCCUACUGACUACUCGAAAUUGAAAAUGAACUGACUACUCGAGGUCGAAAAUGAAGUGAACAAAAAUUGAGCUAACUUGUCGCAAUGCUGACAGUAACGCUUGGUGCAGGCAAGGCAGACUCGGUGCCUCUGGUGAUAGACUUUCAACUCCUCCUCAUCCUCCAUCUCCAUCUCCAUCAUCUUCUCUUCCACCUCCAGGCACGUGCACGGCAUGUGACCUGCCAGAAAGUUGGAGCACGCCAACCUCGGGUCACGCUUCCUUAUCCGCUGCGUCGGGGUCGGGUCGGGAUUUGGGUUCGGGUCCUCCGGCAGGGGGGAGCGGGUUGGGCGGGUCGUCGGAAGCCUAUGCGAUGGACAAGUCAGCAUAUUUCUCCGCCCUCCGCUUCUGCCACGAGAACGGCGUCACUCACCGAGAAGUGAAGUCGCAGAACCUCCUCCUCGACGGCAACGGCGAACUCAGACUCCGAUUUCGUACACAACGCCAGAGGUUCUGUACCGGGUUGGGUACGAUCUGCCUUCUCAUCCACUCCGCCGAUCCCAACGCCUUCGACGACGUGAUUCUGGUGGCGUUGAUGUGCAAAGUCUCCGACGACGUGAAUCAACAGAUUUUGAGAGAGAGAGAGAGAGAGAGAGAGAGAGAGAGAGAGAUACUUACCGAUCGAAGUGGAGUGAGAGAGAGAGAGAGAUAAUUAAACCAGAUCUGAACGUGGGAUGAGAGAGAGAGAGAGGUGGAAAGUCAAUUAGAGAGAAAGAUAAUAGAGGAGGAUAAUUUGGUCACGAAAAAAAAUAUAAAAAGUCAAAAAUUUUGUUAGUGGGAAUAGUUUCUAAGAGUCAAUUGAGUUGAUGGGAAUUUUAGAAUUUUAUUUUGUUAGUGGGAAAAAAAUGUCUAAAUUUAGGGCCAGUGGGAAUUUUCCCAAUUAAAAUUUGCACUCAUUGGUUUACAACCCACACUCAUUCUUUUCUUUCUUUAGUAACGUAAUUUUUUUUUUAGUAUUUAAUGACAUAUGUUUUAUCUCUUUAUAAAAGUUUAACCACAGAGAUUGACCUAUAUUAUCCCUUACCAUAAUGGAGGACCAUAUUCAAAAAUAACAACCAAACGAGGACUUAUCCACACCCAUGACAAAAGUCAAAACUAUAAAUUGAAGUACAUCUAAUGAUUUAAAAGCUAGCUAUAUGUACGAUUGCGCUAGUUAUAUGCAAUCCUCACAUUUGUGUUUGCACUUUUGAGUGUUAGAUUCU